GUGGGGAAUCUUGCGCAAUGGGCGAAAGCCUGACGCAGCCAUGCCGCGUGAAUGAUGAAGGUCUUAGGAUUGUAAAAUUCUUUCACCGGGGACGAUAAUGACGGUACCCGGAGAAGAAGCUCCGGCUAACUUCGUGCCAGCAGCCGCGGUAAUACGAAGGGGGCUAGCGUUGCUCGGAAUUACUGGGCGUAAAGGGCGCGUAGGCGGACAGUUUAGUCAGAGGUGAAAGCCCAGGGCUCAACCUUGGAAUUGCCUUUGAUACUGGCUGUCUUGAGUACGGGGGAGGUGGGUGGAACUCCGAGUGUAGAGGUGAAAUUCGUAGAUAUUCGGAAGAACACCAGUGGCGAAGGCGACUCACUGGCCCGUUACUGACGCUGAGGCGCGAAAGCGUGGGGAGCAAACAGGAUUAGAAACCCUGGUAGUCC
This 425-nucleotide ribosomal RNA is filed under the name uncultured bacterium. Its description in RNAcentral is "partial 16S ribosomal RNA". It matches the Rfam family "Bacterial small subunit ribosomal RNA", at positions 354 to 796 of the family's 1533-position model. The record is from RNAcentral.